GGGGCCGCACGGCGCGACCGUUUCGAACCAGCCGUCGCCGACGGGUGUCAUCGGGAUCACCUGCUCGGUGUCGUCGUGCAGCUCGACGGCGGCCGCAC
RNAcentral lists this transfer RNA (98 nucleotides) under Burkholderia seminalis. RNAcentral describes it as "tRNA-Gly". The record is from RNAcentral. Lineage: Bacteria; Pseudomonadati; Pseudomonadota; Betaproteobacteria; Burkholderiales; Burkholderiaceae.